UGAAGAUGAUGAAGAAUUAGAAGAUAAUGAAGAUGAAGAAUCAGAAGAUGAUGAUAAUGAAGAAUCAAAAGAUGAUGAAGAUUAAGAUGAAGAAGAUAAUGAAGAGAAACUGGACAACAUGGAUGAAGAAGAAGAAUUGGAAGACUAGAAAAUGUAAAGAAUACUUGGAAAGGUGAUCGUUUACAGGGUAUUGCGUGCUUUAUAUAUUUAUCACGAAACAAGAAGAUGGGAGGGUAAUUCCAGUAGAAGAAAGUCUAGCUAGCUAGUCAGCCAUUAAUGAAUGGGGGGAGUGCAAACUCAGAUUAUCAAGACCGGUCUGUUAGUUACUAUCAAAAUGGGUAGUGCCUCUAAUCGACAUGUAUUCAAAAUGUGGACGAACUAAUGAUGCUCGAGGAGUGUUUUAAGAAAUGAAAUAAUUGUUCAUUAUUUUUUUUUGUUAAUUUAAUGUGUUUUCACAAAAACUUUUUACAAUAGUUGUUAUUCAAUGGAUCACUCAUGAAUCAUUUUUCAACAUCAACUAUUUUACACCA
Long non-coding RNA from Impatiens glandulifera, 530 nucleotides. RefSeq lists it as uncharacterized. The transcript is spliced from 3 exons. The record is from RefSeq and is a predicted model, not a curated record. NCBI's taxonomy places the organism in Eukaryota, Viridiplantae, Streptophyta, Magnoliopsida, Ericales, Balsaminaceae.